Molecule: long non-coding RNA, 690 nt
Organism: Acipenser ruthenus (sterlet)
Lineage: Eukaryota; Metazoa; Chordata; Actinopteri; Acipenseriformes; Acipenseridae
Exons: 3
Source: RefSeq, a predicted model, not a curated record
CAAAAUGAUUUAUGAUGAGGGGGUGGGACUAAGGUGUGUGGCUUACAGCUGAAGAGGUGGGGCUAGCGCCCCCUGGGAUGAUCUGAGAGUAUUUUAGUAUGACAUGAGUGCACACCGGAUUGGAAGAUCUGUAUCUCUGGUUCUACAAUUGCAAGAGUGCUAAUCAACACAUCAUAUAAACAUUUUUUGUGUGUACGCCAGGAUAUGGAUGGAGACAAGAAUCAGUUCCAACAUCUGAUUCAGUCACUGAAGAGGAGGAGGGCCCUGACUGAGGAGACCGGGAUCCUCCUUGUGGAGAACCACGAAGGCAUGGACAUCAUGGAGGAGGACCUCCCUGAUGAACAGCUGUUGCUGCUGCAGGAGGAGGAGGAGGAGGAGGAGUAGCCCCAGCCCAGCACUUCAACUGCAGGUUCCUGCACCUGCGUAUCCUUUCAUGAAGAAACAUCGUCACUGCAUGCCUCUCUCUGUACCUUCUAUACCUUUUGUUUCCUCUGUUACUGCAUGUACCUAAUGUCUCACUGUUUUCUUAUUGCAUGUUUUCUCUGUUUCAUCUUGCUGUAAAGACAAUUUACUGUAAAUAGUUUACUGAUCAUUAUCUUGUAUAAAAUGUUAUAAAAUGUAUAAAACACUAUUUGUUGUGUUAUAAAAUAUAAAUGUUUUGCAAGAAAAGGUUUUCAGUCUGAUUGUAUU